CUGGAGACACCCGCCAGGGGGAGGCAGAGCCGCGGGUAACCCAGGCAAUGGCCGCCCGCCGCCCACCCGGGGUGGCCCCUUGACCUGCCGGGUUUCUGGGUCCAUGACAUGGAGACAAAGCAACGGAGACCCCGUGUUUCACAGACCCAUGAGAGACGCCAUGUGCUGGGCCAUGGGCACUGCUGGGGACCCUCCAGGGCUGCGGCAGCACAGAGGGUCACCUGUGAGCGACUGAGAGCCAAGGAGGAAGCAGGAGAGGCACGGGGACAGGGUUGGCGAUGGGGACUCUGGCUGUGGUCCUGGGCUGAGGCCGGCUCAGGAGGUCUGGGAGCAGGAGCAGUUCCCAGGCAACAGGUGAGGCAAGACGGGUCCCACCUGCCCCUGCUGCUGUUGGGACUCAGAGGCACAGAGAGGAGAGGGACAGACGACGGCCGGGGGCCACCCCUCCUCCAGCCAGAGUCCGAGGGCAGCCUCCCCUUCCUGGGCCGGCCCAGCUGCUGCGGGCCGGCGGACACUGCUGUCCCCGUCCCCCUGGUUAAUCCCAGACCAGGGCUUCACGGUCACCUCAUCACGCCAUCGGGUCCCCCUUCUGGGUUGGCAAACGGCGUGGCUGUGCCUGAGGGCCGGGGACCUCGACAGGGCCUGGCCUGGGCUCUGUGUCCCCACCUGAGGGGCCAGCUGCCUGGCUCAGAGGCCCCGGCUCCAAAAGGGGCCAUGCUGGGCCCGAGGCUGGCCCUGGAGGCAGGUCCUCCUCCCGCGGGCAGAGCGUGGGCGGCUGUGGGCAGAGGGGCUCCCCGCACGGCCCCUUCCACAGCGGCAUUGGGGGAGGAUGGUCCCCAGGAGCCCCCAGAGCCGGGUGUGGCCUGCAUGGUGGGCAGGUCCCAGGGGACUUGAAGUCCAAGCAGCCCUUCCCCUGGGAGCCGAGAACAGGUGGCCCCUCUUGUGCCUAAAGUACCAUAAUAAAGUGCCGAUGUCCACCGGAGGCCGCUGCCACCAAGCUGUCCCCAGGUCCUUCUGAUCUCUGACACUGAGCUGGCCCCAGGUCCUUCCCAUUCCUGCCCCGGGGGGCGCCGCGGCUCUGCCCGCUGCAGCAGGACUGGAACCCGGCUCUCCAAGCAGGCACACGCCCUGCCGGGACACGGGUCUCUGGCUUUGUCCCCUCUGACCUCCGCUGAGGAGGCCCUGACUGCCCGGCGCCGCCUCCCCAAUUCACGCUCCCAGGACCACGGCGGUGGCUCCUCCUGGGCUCCCCGCUCCUGCCCUCUCCCCAGUGUCCCUCCUCCACACAGGGGCAGGUGACGCCCUCCCCUGGGGAAAAUCCCCCAAAGGCUCCCCCUAUCUUGGAUGUCCCCCGGGGCCUAGCACAGUCUCCAAGGCCCCGGUCAUCUCCACACCUCAGCUGGCGCCCUGUGUGGCUCCAGAGCCCACUCGGCCCGCUUCCACCCCAGGACCUUUGUGCCUGCUGCACCACCAGGUUAUGUGGCCUCCUCAUUCUCUUUCUUUCUCCUCUCUGUCCUGGGGGUGACCCCAGGGAUGGUCUCCACGGAGCUGCACCCAGCACUUUUUCAUUUUUAUUUCUUAUUUUGAGAUGGAGUCUCACUAAGUUGCUGAGGCUGGCCUCAAACUUGCAAUCCUCCUGCCACAGCCUCCUGAGGGACUGGAUGACAGGCUCUGCCACUGGCCUGGCCCCCUCACUUUAAAAUGCUUCGUCUCGUGUCACGAGAACCCCACCUUGACCUUUAAAUGAAGAAGAGAGAAAAUCUGUGCACAGCCUCUGGGUAGAGCCUGGAGAGAGGACGGGAGGCUGGACAGAAACUGCAGGUCACUUGGUUGGGCUGGAGCUGCAGGUCAGCAGGGUCAGGUGCUGGAUGGUGGACAAUGAGCUGGCGGGGCCUCGUGCCCGGUGGGGGAGUUCGCAUGUUUCCCUGAGUGAGUUGGGAGCCAUGGAAGGUGGUAGGCAGAGGGGGACACCACCUUGUGCUCCGGGAUCCCUCGGCUGCCUGGGCAGAGACUCAGGUGAGGCUGGAAGUGGGAAGGUCAGAGGCCCGUCCAGGCAGGAGAGCGUGAGGCCUGGCCCUGGAGGUGGCCACACAGGACCCUGGGGGAGGCCCAGAGGUGAGGACACUGGCUGCAUGUGAGAGACCGUUGGGGCCCAAAGCUGGUGGCUGGUGGAUGUGGCCAGGAGGUGGGGUUGAGAGGAACACGGAGGCCACUCCUUCCAGCCCGAGAAGCCACCAGGACCUGUCCCGCCCCCCUACCCAGCUCCCUCGGUGUGGCCUGACUGACCCCAACACCCUGGGUGGCCUCCGGCCAAUCCCUGGGCCUCUCUGUGCUCGGGAGCUUCAGUGCACCCGACCUUCAGCGGGAGUGAGAGGCCGGAGCCACCAGCCCAGGGAGACGACCUUGAAGAGCCCGUCCUCCCCCCCACCCCUCCCCCCGGGGCUCACAGCAGGCCAAGGGGACACCUGGGCAAGGCCUGGGCAAAAGGCAGCCCAGCCCCCAGCCUGCCCCGUCGCCAGCCUCUGCCCACCCAGGGACCCAUGGCGCCCAAACCUCCAGCUUCAGUUCCGAGCCCCACACCAGGCGAGGCUGCCCAGGCCCUGGGGACGAACCCUCCCUCAGCGUCCCCGGAGCAGCCUGGGGACCCGCAGCACAGGCCUGGAGCCAGGGCCUGGGCGGAAGUCUCAGCUCUGCCCUUCUGAGCUGUGCAGCAUUGGGCAAGUGACCCAACCUCUCUGAUGUUCAUAGAAAGAGGCCUGGACCCCGGCACCUGUGGUAGGUUCCGGGUGGGGGAGCUCUGCCCUCUGAAGGAUGUGAGGUCUUCUUGCCCCCGAAACCUCCCGGGCCUGUGUUCGCCAUCCCACGACGACGAGGUGAAUCAAGCUCGGGUAACGAUGGCCAAGCCCCUCAUGCAGAGAACUGUGAGGACCCUGCAUGUCGCCGCCCUGACCAGGCCGCAUGAGGGCCCCUGCAGCCUCCUCCUUGGGGCACCGCCUUGCGCAUGCACGAGACCCAACACACGCUUGGUUUGUGCACAGAAGAGUCGUCUUACAAGAGGUCCCCGCGCGCUCUGUAGUGCCUUUUUAAAUUAUUACUUUCAAUAUGGUUGGUGCAAUUUUAAUCAGUACGAUUU
Long non-coding RNA from Marmota monax (woodchuck), 3133 nucleotides. RefSeq lists it as uncharacterized. The transcript has 3 exons. NCBI's taxonomy places the organism in Eukaryota, Metazoa, Chordata, Mammalia, Rodentia, Sciuridae. The record is from RefSeq and is a predicted model, not a curated record.